RNAcentral lists this ribosomal RNA (402 nucleotides) under uncultured bacterium. Its description in RNAcentral is "bacterial SSU rRNA". It matches the Rfam family "Bacterial small subunit ribosomal RNA", at positions 355 to 774 of the family's 1533-position model. The record is from RNAcentral.
UGAGGAAUAUUGGACAAUGGGCGCAAGCCUGAUCCUGCAAUGCCGCGUGCAGGAUGAAGGCCUUCGGAUUGUAAAAUUCUUUCACCGGGGACGAUAAUGACGGUACCCGGAGAAGAAGCCCCGGCUAACUUCGUGCCAGCAGCCGCGGUAAUACGAAGGGGGCUAGCGUUGCUCGGAAUUACUGGGCGUAAAGCGCACGUAGGCGGGUAUUUAAGUCAGGGGUGAAAUCCCAGAGUUCAACUCUGGAACUGCCUUUGAUACUGGGUACCUAGAGUAUGGAAGAGGUGAGUGGAAUUCCGAGUGUAGAGGUGAAAUUCGUAGAUAUUCGGAGGAACACCAGUGGCGAAGGCGGCUCACUGGUCCAUUACUGACGCUGAGGUGCGAAAGCGUGGGGAGCAAACA